CCAUCAAGUUUGGUGUUUAUGACGUCGAUAUUCGACGUCAUAAACACCAUCAAGUUUGGUGUUUCUGACGUCGAAUAUCGACGUCAUAAACACCAUCAAGU
Non-coding RNA from Paramuricea clavata, 101 nucleotides. The record is from the annotation of a GenBank genome assembly. Lineage: Eukaryota; Metazoa; Cnidaria; Anthozoa; Malacalcyonacea; Plexauridae.